RNAcentral lists this ribosomal RNA (500 nucleotides) under uncultured bacterium. RNAcentral's name for it is "partial 16S ribosomal RNA". It matches the Rfam family "Bacterial small subunit ribosomal RNA", at positions 30 to 523 of the family's 1533-position model. The record is from RNAcentral.
AUUGAACGCUGGCGGCAGGCCUAACACAUGCAAGUCGAGCGGAUGAAGGGGGCUUGCUCUCUGAUUCAGCGGCGGACGGGUGAGUAAUGCCUAGGAAUCUGCCUGGUAGUGGGGGACAACGUUUCGAAAGGAACGCUAAUACCGCAUACGUCCUACGGGAGAAAGCAGGGGACCUUCGGGCCUUGCGCUAUCAGAUGAGCCUAGGUCGGAUUAGCUAGUUGGUGGGGUAAAGGCUCACCAAGGCGACGAUCCGUAACUGGUCUGAGAGGAUGAUCAGUCACACUGGAACUGAGACACGGUCCAGACUCCUACGGGAGGCAGCAGUGGGGAAUAUUGGACAAUGGGCGAAAGCCUGAUCCAGCCAUGCCGCGUGUGUGAAGAAGGUCUUCGGAUUGUAAAGCACUUUAAGUUGGGAGGAAGGGCAGUAAGUUAAUACCUUGCUGUUUUGACGUUACCGACAGAAUAAGCACAGGCUAACUUCGUGCCAGCCGCCGCCGUAA